Unclassified non-coding RNA from Cavia porcellus (domestic guinea pig), 97 nucleotides. It matches the Rfam family "Y RNA". From Rfam's summary of the family: Y RNAs are components of the Ro ribonucleoprotein particle (Ro RNP), in association with Ro60 and La proteins. The Y RNAs and Ro60 and La proteins are well conserved, but the function of the Ro RNP is not known. The record is from Ensembl. NCBI's taxonomy places the organism in Eukaryota, Metazoa, Chordata, Mammalia, Rodentia, Caviidae.
GGCUGGUCCGAUGGCAGUGGGUUAUCAGAACUUAUUAACAUUAGUGUCACUAAAGUUGGUAUACCACCCCCCCACUGCUAAAUUUGACUGGAUUUUA